Molecule: ribosomal RNA, 336 nt
Filed under: Triticum aestivum (bread wheat)
Lineage: Eukaryota; Viridiplantae; Streptophyta; Magnoliopsida; Poales; Poaceae
Description: partial small subunit ribosomal RNA
Source: RNAcentral
AUGGAGACCGAUGUCGGUGUAAAACCAGCGCUCGCUCAUAUCGGCAAUGCCGGUGUGGUUGGCACCUCAUCUCGGCUGGAUGCCGAGUUUACGGCAGUCCGUCAAGACAAAGGACGCCGCCUCAAGGGGCCAUCAAAACUUAGUGUUGGUGAAGCCAUGUCACCUCCUAGCCAUCUCGCCUCGUCUUCAUGGGCUUUGGGCCACGGAGAGCGCCGUGUGUCACCAUCAUCUCCUCUGGGUCACGGACGAUACCGUGUAGCACCAUCUUCUCCGUGUUACGGGCAGUACCGGGGCGUGCAUCCUCUUCAUGGUUCCGGGUCGCGGGCUCCAUCUUGA